This 350-nucleotide ribosomal RNA is filed under the name Melambius sp. MEL172. RNAcentral describes it as "partial 12S ribosomal RNA". The record is from RNAcentral. Lineage: Eukaryota; Metazoa; Arthropoda; Insecta; Coleoptera; Tenebrionidae.
UUAUUUGAAAUGUAAAUUGAUUAGCCAAGAUUAUUAUAAGUUAAGAUCUUUAAAAUUAAAAAAUUUGGCGGUAUUUUAGUCUAUUCAGAGGAACCUGUUUUUUAAUUGAUAGUCCACGAUAAUUUUUACCUUAGUUUUAAAUUUACAUAUCGUCGUUUAUAAAAAUUUUAGGAGGAUUUAAAUUUUUGGGAUUUUUAAUUUUAAAGUAUUUCAGAUCAAGGUGUAGUUUAUACUGAGGUUAAAAUGGGUUACAAUAAUUUUAAUUUUGGAUUUUAUUUUUUGAAAAUAGAUGAAAAUGGAUUUGAUAGUAAAUUUUUUAUUUUUGGGGGUUGAUUUAGCUCUAAAAUAUG